This 423-nucleotide ribosomal RNA is filed under the name uncultured bacterium. RNAcentral describes it as "bacterial SSU rRNA". It matches the Rfam family "Bacterial small subunit ribosomal RNA", at positions 355 to 776 of the family's 1533-position model. The record is from RNAcentral.
UGAGGAAUAUUGGUCAAUGGCCGAGAGGCUGAACCAGCCAAGCCGCGUGACGGAAGAAGGCGCUAGGCGUCGUAAACGUCUUUUGCCGGGGAACAAAAGCGGGCAUGCGUGCCUGUGUGAGUGUACCCGGAGAAAAAGCAUCGGCUAACUCCGUGCCAGCAGCCGCGGUAAUACGGAGGAUGCGAGCGUUAUCCGGAUUUAUUGGGUUUAAAGGGUGCGUAGGCGGACUGUUAAGUCAGCGGUAAAAGACCGUGGCUCAACCAUGGCAAGCCGUUGAAACUGGUGGUCUUGAGUUGGCGAGAGGCAUGCGGAAUGCGCGGUGUAGCGGUGAAAUGCAUAGAUAUCGCGCAGAACUCCGAUUGCGAAGGCAGCAUGCUGGCGCCACACUGACGCUGAGGCACGAAAGCGUGGGUAUCGAACAGG